UCUUUAAGGAACUUCACGUCCAGACAAAUAACCGAUAUUUCGCCUCUGCAGAUAUGACUCAAUGAGUUUUCGAAACUCUAAAUUUUUGGUUAUAUGAUAAUGAUCACAACAUGAGGAGAUGCAGGCAUCUAAGGGAUGUUUCCUAAGCUCAACUCAAUCCAUCAAAUGAGCACACAAAAUUCGAGUAUGACUUGAGUCCCCCACCAAGGCAAAAUAGGUAAAUGUAAAAACAGAGAAACAAGCAUCACUUGACUUCAUGAACU
Rhodamnia argentea is the source of this 263-nucleotide long non-coding RNA. RefSeq lists it as uncharacterized. The transcript is spliced from 2 exons. NCBI's taxonomy places the organism in Eukaryota, Viridiplantae, Streptophyta, Magnoliopsida, Myrtales, Myrtaceae. The record is from RefSeq and is a predicted model, not a curated record.